CAUGCAAGUCGAGGGGCAGCAUUUCAGUUUGCUUGCAAACUGGAGAUGGCGACCGGCGCACGGGUGAGUAACACGUAUCCAACCUGCCGAUAACUCGGGGAUAGCCUUUCGAAAGAAAGAUUAAUACCCGAUGGNAUAAUCAGACCGCAUGGUCUUAUUAUUAAAGAAUUUCGGUUAUCGAUGGGGAUGCGUUCCAUUAGGCAGUUGGUGAGGUAACGGCUCACCAAACCUUCGAUGGAUAGGGGUUCUGAGAGGAAGGUCCCCCACAUUGGAACUGAGACACGGUCCAAACUCCUACGGGAGGCAGCAGUGAGGAAUAUUGGUCAAUGGGCGCAGGCCUGAACCAGCCAAGUAGCGUGAAGGAUGACUGCCCUAUGGGUUGUAAACUUCUUUUAUAUGGGAAUAAAGUUUUCCACGUGUGGAAUUUUGUAUGUACCAUAUGAAUAAGGAUCGGCUAACUCCGUGCCAGCAGCCGCGGUAAUACGGAGGAUCCGAGCGUUAUCCGGAUUUAUUGGGUUUAAAGGGAGCGUAGGUGGACAGUUAAGUCAGUUGUGAAAGUUUGCGGCUCAACCGUAAAAUUGCAGUUGAUACUGGCUGUCUUGAGUACAGUAGAGGUGGGCGGAAUUCGUGGUGUAGCGGUGAAAUGCUUAGAUAUCACGAAGAACUCCGAUUGCGAAGGCAGCUCACUGGACUGCAACUGACACUGAUGCUCGAAAGUGUGGGUAUCAAACAGGAUUAGAUACCCUGGUAGUCCACACAGUAAACGAUGAAUACUCGCUGUUUGCGAUAUACAGUAAGCGGCCAAGCGAAAGCAUUAAGUAUUCCACCUGGGGAGUACGCCGGCAACGGUGAAACUCAAAGGAAUUGACGGGGGCCCGCACAAGCGGAGGAACAUGUGGUUUAAUUCGAUGAUACGCGAGGAACCUUACCCGGGCUUAAAUUGCAUUUGAAUANUNUGGAAACAGGUUAGCCGCAAGGCAAAUGUGAAGGUGCUGCAUGGUUGUCGUCAGCUCGUGCCGUGAGGUGUCGGCUUAAGUGCCAUAACGAGCGCAACCCUUAUCUUUAGUUACUAACAGGUCAUGCUGAGGACUCUAGAGAGACUGCCGUCGUAAGAUGUGAGGAAGGUGGGGAUGACGUCAAAUCAGCACGGCCCUUACGUCCGGGGCUACACACGUGUUACAAUGGGGGGUACAGAAGGCAGCUACCUGGUGACAGGAUGCUAAUCCCAAAAGCCUCUCUCAGUUCGGAUCGAAGUCUGCAACCCGACUUCGUGAAGCUGGAUUCGCUAGUAAUCGCGCAUCAGCCAUGGCGCGGUGAAUACGUUCCCGGGCCUUGUACACACCGCCCGUCAAGCCAUGAAAGCCGGGGGUACCUGAAGUACGUAACCGCAAGGAGCUCCUAGG
This 1403-nucleotide ribosomal RNA is filed under the name bacterium NLAE-zl-P760. RNAcentral's name for it is "16S ribosomal RNA". It matches the Rfam family "Bacterial small subunit ribosomal RNA". The record is from RNAcentral.